RNAcentral lists this ribosomal RNA (440 nucleotides) under uncultured bacterium. Its description in RNAcentral is "bacterial SSU rRNA". It matches the Rfam family "Bacterial small subunit ribosomal RNA", at positions 958 to 1398 of the family's 1533-position model. The record is from RNAcentral.
AACGCGAAGAACCUUACCUGGGCUAGACAACGGCGGACCGUCUCAGAGAUGAGGCUUUCCCGCAAGGGACGGCAGAAUAGGUGCUGCAUGGCUGUCGUCAGCUCGUGUCGUGAGAUGUUGGGUUAAGUCCCGCAACGAGCGCAACCCUUACCCUUAGUUGCUCAUCCGCAAGGAAAGCACCCUAAGGGAACUGCCUGGGAUAACCAGGAGGAAGGUGGGGAUGACGUCAAGUCCUCAUGGCCUUUAUGCCCAGGGCUACACACGUGCUACAAUGGCCGGUACAAACCGUCGCAAACCCGCGAGGGGGAGCCAAUCGGAAAAAACCGGUCUCAGUUCGGAUUGCAGGCUGCAACUCGCCUGCAUGAAGCUGGAAUCGCUAGUAAUCGCGGAUCAGAACGCCGCGGUGAAUACGUUCCCGGGCCUUGUACACACCGUAGUAC